AAAAGAUUAUCUGCCAGGCAGGCACGUUGGUCUAUGUUCCUUACACACUUUAAUUAUGUGCUUACUUACAGGCCUGGUUCUAAGAACACUAAGGCAGACGCUUUGUCACGUCAGCACGAACCUACUACCUCUACAGAGGAUACUUUGUUCCCUAUUAUUCCUGAAGUCAAUAUUAUCGCCAACACCAAUGUCAAAAUACACUCUCCAUUGCUCUUAGAUAUAAUGAACGAACAAUCUCUUGCUCCCGAGCGUACU
Molecule: non-coding RNA, 255 nt
Organism: Pelobates cultripes (western spadefoot toad)
Lineage: Eukaryota; Metazoa; Chordata; Amphibia; Anura; Pelobatidae
Source: the annotation of a GenBank genome assembly